GCUGGGUGUGCUGGUGCACUCCUGUAAUCCCAAUGGCUGGGGAGGCUGAGGCAGGAGGAUCCCAAGUUCAAAGCCAGCCUCAG
This 83-nucleotide small RNA is filed under the name Marmota monax (woodchuck). Lineage: Eukaryota; Metazoa; Chordata; Mammalia; Rodentia; Sciuridae. The record is from RNAcentral.